CAAUCAUUCUUGGAGGCGGGGACAAAGAAGUUGAUAAAACAUAAGUCACACCUCGAAAUAUCCAUUGAGCGAGGUAAGCUCAAGCUACUGGGUUAACGACAUCUGCUUUCACCAAAAACCUCUUCGCCAAGAUGAGGCUGGUCUCGUGGAUACUAGUUUUUGCUUUGCUUUAUGGAUGCUUUGCCAAGGAGAACACUCAAGAAAGCUCGAACACUGAAGAUGAGAAGCUCGACAUCAAGCCGCGCGCAUAUUACCCCCCAUCAGAAUGCAGAUCGUACAAAAUGUUACACGGAGCCGAUCGUGCAAUGGCCAAUACCGCACAAAAUGCCCUCCGCUGUGACAGGAAUGAGUUUCCAGGUAACCAGUGGUACCGUUUCACUGGACAAGCAGGCAAUGCUAUGCCAACAAGUUGUGUACCUGAAAAACGCUGUGGAACCCACGCGCCUGGGUGGAUGGUGGGAGCUCAUCCCACUGUAGCCCAAGGUAUGGUGACUCGCAAGGUGUGCUACCACUGGACUAAAAACUGCUGCAGAUGGAGCAACUACAUCAAAGUCAGGAACUGCGGUGCAUUCUACGUCUACCAGCUUCCCAAGACACCAGUGUGCUGGCUUCGCUACUGUGGCAACGGCAUUCCUCAACCACCUGAGUGCCGAAGAUACACUGUCUUCAACAGCUUUGACCGAGCGAUUGGCAAUACCGCACAGAAUAGCCUCAAGUGUGACCAGAGAGACCUUCCUGGUAAUCUCUGGUACCGCUUCCUCGGCGCAGCAGGAAAUGCCAUGCCAACAAGUUGUAUACCUGUAAAACGCUGUGGUACCCAUGCCCCUGGAUGGAUGGUCGGAUCUCAUCCCAGCCUUCAUUACAGCCUGGUGACACGCAAGGUGUGCUAUCACUGGAGUGGAAGCUGCUGCAGGUGGAGCAACUACAUCAAAGUCAGGAACUGUGGCGGAUUCUACGUCUACCAGCUACCCAAGACACCCGUCUGUUGGCUUCGCUACUGCGGCAAUCGGGUAUCGCCUCCACCUCCUCCUACUCCUCCAGAGUGCCGAAGAUACACUGUCUUCAACAGCUUUGACCGAGCGAUUGGCAAUACCGCACAGAAUAGCCUCAAGUGUGACCAGAGAGACCUUCCUGGUAAUCUCUGGUACCGCUUCCUCGGCGCAGCAGGAAAUGCCAUGCCAACAAGUUGUGUACCUGUGAAACGCUGUGGUACCCAUGCCCCUGGAUGGAUGGUGGGAUCUCAUCCCAGCCUUCGUUACAGCCUGGUGACACGCAAGGUGUGCUAUCACUGGAGUGGAAGCUGCUGCAGGUGGAGCAACAACAUCAAAGUCAGGAACUGUGGCGGAUUCUACGUCUACCAGCUACCCAAGACACCCGUCUGUUGGCUUCGCUACUGCGGCAAUCGGGUAUCGCUUCCACCUCCUCCUACUCCUCCAGAGUGCCGAAGAUACACUGUCUUCAACAGCUUUGACCGAGCGAUUGGCAAUACCGCACAGAAUAGCCUCAAGUGUGACCAGAGAGACCUUCCUGGUAAUCUCUGGUACCGCUUCCUCGGCGCAGCAGGAAAUGCCAUGCCAACAAGUUGUGUACCUGUAAAACGCUGUGGUACCCAUGCCCCUGGAUGGAUAGUCGGAUCUCAUCCCAGCCUUCGUUACAGCCUGGUGACACGCAAGGUGUGCUAUCACUGGAGUGGAAGCUGCUGCAGGUGGAGCAACUACAUCAAAGUCAGGAACUGUGGCGGAUUCUACGUCUACCAGCUACCCAAGACACCCGUCUGUUGGCUUCGCUACUGCGGCAAUCGGGUAUCGCUUCCACCUCCUCCUCCAGGUUGGUGUUUUUUUGUGUUUAUGCCGAGAGUGCCGAAGAUACACUGUCUUCAACAGCUUUGACCGAGCGAUUGGCAAUACCGCACAGAAUAGCCUCAAGUGUGACCAGAGAGACCUUUCGGGUAAUCUCUGGUACCGCUUCCUCGGCGCAGCAGGAAAUGCCAUGCCAACAAGUUGUGUACCUGUAAGACGCUGUGGCACCCAUGCCCCUGGAUGGAUGGUCGGAUCUCACCCCAGCCUUCGUUACAGCCUGGUGACACGCAAGGUGUGCUAUCACUGGAGUGGAAGCUGCUGCAGGUGGAGCAACAACAUCAAAGUCAGGAACUGUGGCGGAUUCUACGUCUACCAGCUACCCAAGACACCCGCCUGUAUGCUUCGCUACUGUGGCCGUGGCUACUAAAGUAAUCAAAUAAAAUAUGCUUUGUCAACAACAGAAACGGAACGGAACGGAAAAUGAAGUCUGUAUAGCUGCUCUGAUGUUUCGACAUCAAGAGAUCUCUUCCAGAGUUGUGUUAUGUGGAGCAGGGUCAUAGCAGCAUUGCUCGAAACUUGAACCACAGGAACAUUACCACUUAGUACUUUUACAAUAAAUGAGCAUUUAAAAA
RNA transcript from Nematostella vectensis (starlet sea anemone), 2431 nucleotides. RefSeq lists it as uncharacterized. The record is from RefSeq and is a predicted model, not a curated record. The transcript is spliced from 9 exons. Lineage: Eukaryota; Metazoa; Cnidaria; Anthozoa; Actiniaria; Edwardsiidae.